AUGCGUUCAGAAGAUUUGCAACACAUUGCAAAUAACCUGCCAGAUUCAUUUACUGACUAUAAAGGUGUCACACAAUCCUACAAUCCUACAAAAGUACGCCUGAAAGAGUGGAGGUACGAACAAAAUCCACUCCACUCCCCGUUCAAAGCAACAGGGGGAGAUGUAUGGCAGAAGUACGUCGGGAUUCAGCUUAUCACAAGCAAGGAUAUCAAGGCCUGUGAAUCAGUAAAUGCAAGUCAACUUCAUGUUGGCAGACACCUAAUGGGUAGUAUACACCCAGUGGACGGGAAACCUCCCCCAACCCAGGUCAUAGUGCACACAAUGACCGGGACAUCGAAAUACCCGACUCAAUCGCAUUGGGAAAUUGCGAGCAGUCACCAUGGGUAA
This 387-nucleotide ribosomal RNA is filed under the name Triticum aestivum (bread wheat). RNAcentral describes it as "partial small subunit ribosomal RNA". The record is from RNAcentral. Lineage: Eukaryota; Viridiplantae; Streptophyta; Magnoliopsida; Poales; Poaceae.